This 498-nucleotide ribosomal RNA is filed under the name uncultured bacterium. Its description in RNAcentral is "bacterial SSU rRNA". It matches the Rfam family "Bacterial small subunit ribosomal RNA", at positions 899 to 1397 of the family's 1533-position model. The record is from RNAcentral.
ACUCAAAGGAAUUGACGGGGGCCCGCACAAGCGGAGGAACAUGUGGUUUAAUUCGAUGAUACGCGAGGAACCUUACCUGGGCUUAAAUGUAGAGUGCAUUGGUGGGAAACCAUCAUUUUCUUCGGAACUCUUUACAAGGUGCUGCAUGGUUGUCGUCAGCUCGUGCCGUGAGGUGUCGGGUUAAGUCCCAUAACGAGCGCAACCCUUAUCGUUAGUUGCCAGCGGGUCAAGCCGGGAACUCUAACGAAACUGCCGGUGUAAACCGAGAGGAAGGUGGGGAUGACGUCAAAUCAGCACGGCCCUUAUGUCCAGGGCUACACACGUGUUACAAUGGCCGGUACAGAGGGCAGCUACCUGUUGACAGGAUGCGAAUCUCGAAAGCCGGUCUCAGUUCGGAUCGGAGUCUGCAACCCGACUCCGUGAAGCUGGAUUCGCUAGUAAUCGCGCAUCAGCCAUGGCGCGGUGAAUACGUUCCCGGGCCUUGUACACACCGCCCGU